This 497-nucleotide ribosomal RNA is filed under the name uncultured bacterium. RNAcentral's name for it is "partial 16S ribosomal RNA". It matches the Rfam family "Bacterial small subunit ribosomal RNA", at positions 28 to 507 of the family's 1533-position model. The record is from RNAcentral.
GAUGAACGCUGGCGGCGUGCCUAAUACAUGCAAGUCGAGCGAACAGAUAAGGAGCUUGCUCCUUUGACGUUAGCGGCGGACGGGUGAGUAACACGUGGGUAACCUAUCUAUAAGACUGGAAUAACUCCGGGAAACCGGGGCUAAUGCCGGAUAACAUGUUGAACCGCAUGGUUCUACAGUGAAAGGCGGCUUUGCUGUCACUUAUAGAUGGACCCGCGCCGUAUUAGCUAGUUGGUGAGGUAACGGCUCACCAAGGCAACGAUACGUAGCCGACCUGAGAGGGUGAUCGGCCACACUGGUACUGAGACACGGUCCAGACUCCUACGGGAGGCAGCAGUAGGGAAUCUUCCGCAAUGGGCGAAAGCCUGACGGAGCAACGCCGCGUGAGUGAUGAAGGUCUUCGGAUCGUAAAACUCUGUUAUUAGGGAAGAACAAAUGCGUAAGUAACUGUGCGCGUCUUGACGGUACCUAAUCAGAAAGCCACGGCUAACUACGUG